This 449-nucleotide ribosomal RNA is filed under the name uncultured bacterium. RNAcentral's name for it is "partial 16S ribosomal RNA". It matches the Rfam family "Bacterial small subunit ribosomal RNA", at positions 29 to 523 of the family's 1533-position model. The record is from RNAcentral.
AAUGAACGCUGGCGGCAGGCCUAACACAUGCAAGUCGAACGGAUCCUUCGGGAUUAGUGGCGGACGGGUGAGUAACGCGUGGGAACAUACCCUUUGGUACGGAAUAGCCUCGGUAAACUGGGAGUAAUACCGUAUGUGGUAGAUAGACGAAAGAUUUAUCGCCAAGGAACUGGCCCGCGUUGGAGUAGGUAGUUGGUGGGGUAAUGGCCUACCAAGCCGACGAUCCAUAGCUGGUUUGAGAGGAUGAUAAGGCACACUGGGACUGAGACACGGCCCAGACUCCUACGGGAGGCAGCAGUGGGGAAUCUUAGACAAUGGGGGAAACCCUGAUCUAGCCAUGCCGCGUGAUCGAUGAAGGCCUUAGGGUUGUAAAGAUCUUUCAGGUGGGAAGAUAAUGACUGUACCACCAGAAGAAGCCCCGGCUAACUCCGUGCCAGCCGCCGCCGUAA